This 417-nucleotide long non-coding RNA is filed under the name Lathyrus oleraceus (garden pea). Its description in RNAcentral is "Pisum sativum (pea) long non-coding RNA (PSAT_LNC038246)". Lineage: Eukaryota; Viridiplantae; Streptophyta; Magnoliopsida; Fabales; Fabaceae. The record is from RNAcentral.
CUAAAUAAAUAAAUAAAAAGAAAUUAAAAAAAGGAAGAAAACAUGAAAAUAUGGAGAAAAUGGAAACAAAAGGGGCGCCUGGGUCAAACCCCUCCCCUUGGGGUUGCAGGUUAAAUGGCCAACCACUGAGCCAAGCUUGCUCAGCUGAUACUUAAAAGCACUCAUGAAUAUAUAUAAAAAAUACAAAUUGAAAAUAAAUAAAUGGACCAACAACAACCAUAGGAUCUGAUUACUUAAAAAGGUAUGCACAUUGGAUGGUCCUGGUCAAAAGGAAUAACAAACACGCGUGUUGACCAACACACACAUAACCUAGGAGGCUAUAUCAUCUUAAACAACCAACGAAAACACUCAAUGUAAAUUUUUUAAUUUAAAUGGAAAAGGGAAACACGGGAAGCAACCGUUUGCAUCGUCUUGAAC